RNAcentral lists this ribosomal RNA (400 nucleotides) under uncultured bacterium. Its description in RNAcentral is "bacterial SSU rRNA". It matches the Rfam family "Bacterial small subunit ribosomal RNA", at positions 355 to 769 of the family's 1533-position model. The record is from RNAcentral.
UUAGGAAUUUUGCGCAAUGGGGGAAACCCUGACGCAGCAACGCCGCGUGAGUGAAGAAGGCCUUCGGGUUGUAAAGCUCUUUUAGCUGGAACGAACACAAUGACGGUACCAGCAGAAAAAGCACCGGCUAACUCCGUGCCAGCAGCCGCGGUAAUACGGAGGGUGCAAGCGUUACUCGGAUUUACUGGGCGUAAAGCGCGUGUAGGUGGUUUUUUAAGUCUGAUGUGAAAGCCCUGGACUCAAUCUGGGAAGUGCAUUGGAUACUGAUGAACUAGAGUGCAGGAGAGGAAAGCGGAAUUUCUGGUGUAGAGGUGAAAUUCGUAGAUAUCAGAAGGAACAACAGAAGCGAAGGCGGCUUUCUGGACUGCAACUGACACUGAGACGCGACAGCGUGGGGAGC